Molecule: long non-coding RNA, 378 nt
Organism: Syzygium oleosum
Lineage: Eukaryota; Viridiplantae; Streptophyta; Magnoliopsida; Myrtales; Myrtaceae
Exons: 2
Source: RefSeq, a predicted model, not a curated record
AUAUGAUAUCGUUCUUUAACCAGAAGCUCCAUUAGAUGCUCCACCGGAUACUCUAGUCCAAAGAUUCAUUAGAGAGCAAUGACCUUCCACCUGAUACUUUGCAGAUGACCGCAAGUGGGUGGAUCUCUCCGGUCUUGAACAAAGAGUAGCAAAGUUCUGUGGGGGCUCCUUCGGCCACUCAUUAUAGCCGAAACAAUGAAGAUGGGAGCUACACGAAGUCGCCGUCCAAAGUUUGUGCUGUGAGUUUAUUUUAUCCAUUUAAGUUGUUUAUUUAUAAACACUUGAGGCUUGGAUUUAAUCUGUUGUGGUAAACACUCGAAUGUGUGAGUAAACAAUUGUAACUUGGAUUCUCCUAUUAUUAGUGGAUUAUGUACUGCU